AUGGCACGCUCCAUGUCCGCCACUCACACCUUUCUCCUCGCCGUCCUCCUCCUUCUCCUGGCCACCGCCACCAGCUCCAUCGCCUCCGGCUCACCCACCUCUGCUGCCUCCCUGGAAGCCGCCGCCCUCCUCAACCUCUCCGUGGCACUCGCUGACCCCUCGGGCUACCUUUCCGCGCACUGGACGCCGGCCACGCCGCUCUGCUCGUGGCCGCGCCUCUCCUGCGACGCCGCCGGCUCCCGCGUCAUCUCCCUCGACCUCUCCGCCCUCAACCUCACCGGCCCCAUCCCCGCCGCCGCCCUCUCCUCCGUCCCGCACCUCCGGUCCCUCAACCUCUCCAAUAACCUCUUCAAUUCCACCUUCCCGGACGGCCUCAUCGCCAGCCUCACCGACAUCCGCGUUCUCGACCUGUACAAUAACAACCUCACCGGCCCGCUCCCUGCCGCGCUCCCCAAUCUCACGAACCUUGUCCACCUCCACCUCGGCGGCAAUUUCUUCUCCGGCAGCAUUCCCACGUCGUACGGCCAAUGGAGCCGCAUCCGGUACCUGGCCCUCUCCGGCAAUGAGCUCACCGGGGAGAUACCGCCCGAGCUCGGCAACCUGUCGACGCUGAGGGAGCUGUACCUCGGGUACUUCAACAGCUUCACCGGCGGGAUACCGCCUGAGCUCGGCAGGCUGCGGCAGCUCGUGCGGCUCGACAUGGCGAGCUGCGGUAUCUCCGGCAAGAUCCCGCCGGAGUUGGCGAACCUGACGACGCUGGACACUCUCUUUCUACAGAUUAACGCCCUCUCCGGGCGGCUGCCGUCGGAGAUAGGCGUGAUGGGCGCGCUGAAGUCGCUCGACUUGUCCAACAACCUGUUCGCCGGGGAGAUCCCAGCGAGCUUCGCGUCGCUCAAGAACAUGACGCUGCUGAACCUCUUUCGGAACCGCCUCGCCGGCGAGAUUCCCGAAUUUAUCGGUGACCUGCCGAACCUCGAGGUGCUGCAGUUGUGGGAGAACAACUUCACCGGCGGAGUGCCGGCGCAGCUUGGUGUUGCGGCAACCAGGCUGAGGAUUGUCGACGUGAGCACAAAUAAGCUCACCGGCGUUCUGCCGACCGAGCUAUGCGCCGGCGGUCGGCUGGAGACGUUCAUCGCGCUUGGAAAUUCGUUGUUUGGCGGCAUUCCGGACGGGCUCGCCGGGUGCCCGUCAUUGACGAGGAUUCGACUGGGAGAGAAUUAUCUCAAUGGGACGAUCCCGGCCAAGCUGUUCACGUUGCAGAACCUGACACAGGUAGAGCUGCAUAACAAUCUGCUGUCCGGCGAGGUCCGGCUGGACGCCGACGAGGUGUCGCCGUCGAUAGGGGAGCUGAGCCUGUAUAACAACGGAUUAUCUGGCCCGGUGCCGGCGGGGAUCGGUGGGCUCGUGGGCCUGCAGAAGCUUCUGUUGGCCGACAACAAGUUGUCCGGCGAGCUCCCGCCGGCCAUUGGGAAGUUGCAACAGCUUUCAAAGGUGGACAUGUCUGGCAACCUGAUAUCCGGGGAGCUGCCGCCGGCGAUCGCGGGUUGCAGGCUGCUCACCUUCCUCGACCUAUCCGGCAACAGGCUCUCCGGCCGCAUCCCGGCCGCGCUCGCCAGCCUACGGAUCCUCAACUACCUCAACCUAUCCAGCAACGCGCUCGACGGGGAGAUCCCGCCUUCCAUCGCCGGAAUGCAGAGCCUAACAGCCGUUGAUUUCUCGUACAACUGCCUGUCCGGCGAGGUCCCAGCCACCGGGCAGUUCGCCUACUUCAACUCCACCUCCUUCGCCGGCAACCCUGGUCUCUGCGGGGCCUUCCUGUCUCCGUGUGGCGGUCACGGCGUGGCCACGUCCACCUUCGGGUCCCUCUCGUCGACCACGAAGCUUCUCCUCGUGCUCGGCCUCCUGGCGCUGUCCAUCAUCUUCGCCGUGGCGGCCGUGCUGAAGGCGCGGUCUCUGAAGCGGUCGGCGGAGGCGCGUGCGUGGCGGAUCACGGCGUUCCAGCGCUUGGACUUCGCUGUGGACGACGUGCUCGACUGCCUCAAGGACGAGAACGUGAUCGGCAAGGGCGGGUCCGGGAUCGUGUACAAGGGCGCGAUGCCGGGCGGCGCGGUUGUGGCAGUGAAGCGGCUGUCCGCCAUCGGGCGCUCCGGGUCAGCUCACGACGACUAUGGCUUCUCCGCCGAGAUACAGACGCUGGGGCGGAUCCGGCACCGCCACAUCGUGCGGCUGCUCGGGUUCGCGGCCAACCGCGAGACGAACCUCCUGGUGUAUGAGUACAUGCCCAACGGCAGCCUCGGCGAGGUGCUCCACGGCAAGAAGGGUGGCCACCUGCAGUGGGCGACGCGGUACAAGAUCGCCGUGGAGGCGGCCAAGGGCCUCUGCUACCUGCACCACGACUGCUCGCCGCCGAUACUGCACCGCGACGUCAAGUCCAACAACAUCCUCCUCGACACCGACUUCGAGGCGCACGUCGCCGACUUCGGCCUCGCCAAGUUCCUCAACGGCAACGCCGGUGGCUCCGAGUGCAUGUCCGCGAUCGCCGGUUCCUAUGGAUACAUCGCUCCCGAGUACGCCUACACUCUCAAGGUGGACGAGAAGAGCGACGUGUACAGCUUCGGUGUGGUGCUGCUGGAGCUCGUGACCGGACGCAAGCCGGUGGGUGAGUUCGGCGACGGCGUGGACAUCGUGCAGUGGGUGCGGAUGGCCACCGGAUCGACCAAGGAAGGCGUGAUGAAGAUCGCCGACCCGCGCCUCUCGACGGUGCCCGUCCAGGAGCUGACGCACGUCUUCUACGUCGCCAUGCUCUGCGUCGCGGAGCAAAGCGUCGAGCGGCCCACGAUGCGGGAGGUGGUGCAGAUCCUGGCCGACAUGCCAGGGGCGACGUCGAUGACCGCCGGCACGACACGGUCGGAGGCCACCGUCGAAGGAGAGGAGGAGGAGCAUCAGGACGGGCCACAGGAGUCCCCGGCGCAGCAGGAUCUCCUCAGCAUUUAG
RNAcentral lists this ribosomal RNA (2994 nucleotides) under Triticum aestivum (bread wheat). RNAcentral's name for it is "partial small subunit ribosomal RNA". The record is from RNAcentral. Lineage: Eukaryota; Viridiplantae; Streptophyta; Magnoliopsida; Poales; Poaceae.